ACGCAGGGCCACCUGGUUGGUUCAGUCAGAAUGCAAAAGGAAGUAUAUCAAUAGAGAUUUAGAAUCCUAAAGAUUCACAUGAACAUUUUGUAAUUAUAAAAAUAUAGUAGUGAAAAUUAAGAAUGCAUUUGGUAGUCAGUGUAAAGUCGAAUGAACAAUAAUCUUAUGCAGAGAGAAAAAAGAACAGAACAUUAAAGAAAUACAGGAAAGUCAAAACAUGAAAUUGAACACCUAAAAAAAUAGGACAGAAAAUUUAUUUGAAGAAAUAAUGUACAAAAACAUCACAAAUCUCCAUGAAAUGUUUUGAUGCAUAAAUUAAAAAAUUCAUCAAAGCAAACCAGAUAAAGUAAGGAAAUCCAUACCUAGGCACAGCAUGGUCAAACUGUUGAAAAACAGAGUUUAAAAACAUAUCCUAAUAGCAUGUAGUUUUAAAAAAGAUAACAGUUAAAAAAAAACAACAAGAAAGAGUUCAUUUCUCAACGAAACUAUAGUGGCCUGAUGAAUGGAAUUUUAUCUUUAAAGUGUUGAAAGAAAAAAAAUGACAACUGUGAAGUUUAUACCCAGAGAAAAUAUCUUUCAGAAAUGAAGGAAAGAUCCUUUUCUAACAAAAGCUUAGAGAAUUUCUUAUUAACAAGAAAUACUAAAGGACAACAGUCAGGCUAAAGGCAAAUAAUCCCAGGUGGAAGCAUGGAUGUGCAAAAAGCUAUGGCAUAUUAAAUAUAUGACUAAUAUAACUAAACAGAUGGAUUGUUUAAAGCAACAAAAAUAAUAUUGCUUGUGGGGCUUGUAAUACAGGAAGAAGAAAUGACAAUACUACCAUAAAUGGAGUUAGACUAUUAAAAUGUUUUUAUAUUAUUUGAUAUGUAGUAAAAGCCCUAAUUUAAGGGAGAUUGUCUUAAAGAUGCAUUCUAUAAUAGCUCAAUUAACUAUUAAAAGAAUUAUACAAAGAUGUACAACCAGAAAAUCCUAAUAGAGAUAAAAUGAAAUAAUAAAAAUACAUGAUUAAUACAAAAGAACACAGGUAAAGAGGAAUAAAGAAAUAAAAAUGGAACAAGACAAAAAAUAUAUUGCAAGAUGACAGACUUAAGCCAAAUUGUAUCAUUAAUUCUAGUAAAAUGUAAAUGUACCAAAUAUCGCAAUUAAAAUAUAAGAUCUUCAUAUUAGAUUAAAGAGAAAAACAGGAUCAAUUAUGCUGCCUAUAAGAAAUACACUUUAAAUGUAAAGACACAAAUAUAUUAGACAAUAAUUAGAAAAACACUAGUAUUGGUAUAUCAAUAACAGAUACAAUAAAUAUAUGUCAUACAAUUUAAGAAGAAUAUGGUAGUCCUACAUUUCUUAUAACAUAGCUUUAAAAUAUAGAAAGCAAAGGUCAACAGAACUAAAGGAUAGACAAAGUUAUAAUUGAAGUUUGAGAGUUUAAUACUCUCUAUUGGUAACCAAUAACAGGAAGAGAAAAAAAAUCCAGAGGGCCAUAGAAGUUUGAACAGAAUUAAUCAAAUUGACCUAAUUGAACAUGCUUCUAAAUUAAAGACUACACAUUCUUUUCAAAUGCUCAGAAUAUAUUUAUCAGAAUGUUCUGAGCGAUAAAACAAGCAUCUAUAAAUUUCAAAUGAUUAAUAUCAAAAAAGAAUGUAUAUAUUUCUAAGCCUUUGGAAUUAGAACUUAAAAACAGGUAUUUCUCAGAUGUUUCCAAAUAUAAAAAGUUCAUCUUUAAAUACGUAUAGGUCAAAAACAAAAUCAUAAACUGGAAACCAGAAAAUAUUUUGAGCUGAAGGUAUAACAUAAAAAAACUUGUGAGAUGUGCUCCAACCAAUGCUUACAAAGACAUUUUUUAGCUUUAAAUAUGUUGUUUUGUUUUUUAUAAAUGCCACUCAUUGUUUAAUCUCCAUCAUAGUUGUUAGGUGUACUACAGAUAUAUUGACACAGCAAGUAUAUUGGUAGUGAAAUGAUGGAAAUCCUUUGUCAAAUUACAUCAAUGCUAAAUAAAUCUGGAAUUUAUUUUCUCCCAGUGGAGAGCAUGAGCAUUUGUAAUAACUGUUCUCUUAGUUUUUUCUUUCUAUUCUUUGAUCUCCUUCAUCCAAACAUAAAUGUAUGUAUUAUUUAAGUAGAAAGGUUAAAAAUAAAUGAUUUACCUUUGGAAGCUGGAAAAAGAAAAGCAAAUUUAGCCUAUAGAAAGUAGAGCAUACUAAAAGAAACCAGUGACAAAACCUCACAUAUACAACAAAGAAAAAUCAAUAAAGCCAAAAACUACCUCACUGAAGAGAUAAAGUUGAUAAGCCUCUUACAAGUCAAGAAAAUAAGUGUCAAUAUCAGGAAUAUGGAAGGAGAUAUCACUACAUAUAUUACAGACAUUAAACUGGUAACAAUUUCAUGAACAACUCUAUUGUUGAAAAUAUAUAUGAAAUUUUAAAAUGCCUUGAAAAUAUAAUUUAACUGAACUAAUAUAAGAAAUGAAAAAUCUGAAUAUUGUUAUACUUAUUAAAGAAAUAAAAUCUUUACUAAGGACCUUCUCAUAAAAAUGUCAGCCUGAGAGGCUUCAGUGGCAAAUUCUCCCAAACAUAUAAGGAAUUUAAAAUACCAGUCAAACACAGUAUCUUCUAGAAAACAGGAAAAAAUGGACCAUAUCAUGAGGCAUAACUAUGGUAUCAAAACCUGACAGGGACAUUAAUUACAAGAAAGGAAAAUUACAGUACAUCUCUCAUGAACAUUGAUGUAAGCAUAUCAAACCAAAUAUUAGCAAGGAUAUUAAACCAAAUAAGGAAUCACAGGGUGGCUCAGUGGUUUAGUGCCUGCCUUUGGCCUAGGGCAUGAUCCUGGGGUCCCGGGAUCAGAUCCUGCAUUGGGCUCCUUGCAUGGAGCCUGCUUCUCUCUCUCUGUGUGUCUCUCAUGAAUGAUUAAAUAAAAUCUGUUAAAAAAAAACAAAUAUUACCAGUGAUAUAGAGGGCAAGAGAGAUUCAGUCUAGGAAUAUAAAAGUAAUUUAAUUUAAAAAAUCAAUCAACAUAACCUUCCAACUUUAAAUAAUAAAGGAGAAAGCCAUGUACAUGUCAUUAUGUGCAGAAACUUUGAUAAUAUUCAACCACUGCUCAUAAUAAAAAUUCUUGGCAAACUAGGAAAAGAAGGGUACUUCUUUUAUUUGAUAAAGGGGAUCUAUAGAAUUAAACUACAACUAUCAUGAUAUGAGAGGUGGAAUAUGGAUCACUGUCCUGAGUUCAGGAACAAGGCAAACUGGUCCAUUAUUACUAGUUGUACUAAAUUUUGUACUGUAAGACCUAUCCAAUACCAUAUGGAGGGGAAAAAGUAAAAUGAAAGGUAUGAAGAUUGGAAAAAAAAGUAAAAUCAUUUUUAUUUGCAGAUAAUAUGAUUUUAUACAUAAAAAUUUCAGUUCUACAAACUAUUAGAUUAAAUGAAUUUAUUAGCAAGAUUGUUGAAUAAAAGGCCAAAGUAUAAAACAAUUAAUUGUAUUAAAACAGUUAUUGGAAAAGUAAAAUUUUAAAUCCCAACAGUUGGGAUCCCUGGGUGGUGCAGCAGUUUGGCGCCUGCCUUUGGCCCAGGGCGCGAUCCUGGAGACCCGGGAUCGAAUCCCACAUCAGGCUCCUGGUGCAUGGAGCCUGCUUCUCCCUCUGCCUAUGUCUCUGCCUCUCUCUCUCUCUCUCUCUCUCUCUCUCUCUCUGACUAUCAUAAAUAAAUAAAAAUAAAAAAAA
RNAcentral lists this long non-coding RNA (3702 nucleotides) under Canis lupus familiaris (dog). RNAcentral describes it as "lncRNA (ENSCAFG00845008120.1)". The record is from RNAcentral. Lineage: Eukaryota; Metazoa; Chordata; Mammalia; Carnivora; Canidae.